Molecule: long non-coding RNA, 221 nt
Filed under: Mustela putorius furo (domestic ferret)
Lineage: Eukaryota; Metazoa; Chordata; Mammalia; Carnivora; Mustelidae
Description: lncRNA (ENSMPUG00000030784.1)
Source: RNAcentral
CUCCAGAGGAGGGUAAAUGCAAAGAGUAUCCUGGAGGUUUAGUUUUCACUUAUUACCUUUUGGGUUAUGGGGUGGAUUUCAGAAGCUUUUUCUCGUUGAUGAUGCUUUCCCUGCAGCUUGAGCUAGGUGACUUCAGGAAAAGACAAAUGCAGGCAAUAUCAACAGUGGCUGCUACGAGCAUAGGAGGAACAACCAGACAUGAUGUGCUCCUCAUGGAAUGA